RNAcentral lists this transfer RNA (67 nucleotides) under Durgades nigropicta. RNAcentral's name for it is "tRNA-Ser". It matches the Rfam family "tRNA". From Rfam's summary of the family: Transfer RNA (tRNA) molecules are approximately 80 nucleotides in length. Their secondary structure includes four short double-helical elements and three loops (D, anti-codon, and T loops). Lineage: Eukaryota; Metazoa; Arthropoda; Insecta; Hemiptera; Cicadellidae. The record is from RNAcentral.
AGUCAUUUAGCUUAUUAAUAAAGCAUAUAUUUUGAAAGUAUAAGAAAGAUAUAGAAUUUAAUGACUU